RNAcentral lists this ribosomal RNA (445 nucleotides) under uncultured bacterium. RNAcentral's name for it is "partial 16S ribosomal RNA". It matches the Rfam family "Bacterial small subunit ribosomal RNA", at positions 354 to 796 of the family's 1533-position model. The record is from RNAcentral.
GUAGGGAAUAUUGGGCAAUGGAUGCAAGUCUGACCCAGCCAUCCCGCGUGCCGGAAGAAGGCACUCAGGGUUGUAAACGGCUUUCGACGGUGAAGAACCGACAGGAUGCGUCCUGUUUUGACGGUAGCUGUUGAAUAAGCACCUGCUAACUCCGUGCCAGCAGCCGCGGUAAUACGGAGGGUGCGAGCGUUGUCCGGAUUUAUUGGGUUUAAAGGGUGCGUAGGCUGGAAGGUCAGUCAUCGGUGGAAAGCUAUCGCUUAACGAUAGUCUUGCCGCAGAUACUUCCUUUCUUAGAUGAGGAGGAGGCCACUGGAACGGAUGGUGUAGCGGUGAAAUGCAUAGAUAUCAUCCAGAACACCGAUUGCGAAGGCAGGUGGCUGUACCUUAAUCGACGCUGAUGCACGAAAGCAUGGGGAGCAAACAGGAUUAGAUACCCGGGUAGUCC